RNAcentral lists this ribosomal RNA (516 nucleotides) under uncultured Glomeromycotina. Its description in RNAcentral is "SSU rRNA". It matches the Rfam family "Eukaryotic small subunit ribosomal RNA", at positions 571 to 1096 of the family's 1831-position model. The record is from RNAcentral. Lineage: Eukaryota; Fungi; Glomeromycota.
AGCAGCCGCGGUAAUUCCAGCUCCUUUAGAGUAUAUUAAAGUUGUUGCAGUUAAAAAGCUCGUAGUUGAAUUUCAGGGGUCAGUAGGUCGGUCGUGCCACUGGUAUGAACUGGUUUUACUGAUUCCUCCCUCUUGAAGAACUGUAAUGCCAUUAAUUUGGUGUUGCAGGGAAUCAGGACUGUUACUUUGAAAAAAUUAGAGUGUUUAAAGCAGGCUCGCGCUUGAAUACAUUAGCAUGGAAUAAUGAAAUAGGACGUUUGAUCCCAUUUNGUNGGUUUCUAGGAUUGACGUAAUGAUUAAUAGGGAUAGUUGGGGGCAUUAGUAUUCUAUUGUCAGAGGUGAAAUUCUUGGAUUUAUUGAAGACUAACUACUGCSWAAGCAUUUGCCWAGGAUGUUUUCAUUAAUCAAGAUCGAAAGUUAGGGGAUCGAAGACNAUCAGAUACCGUCGUAGUCUUAACCAUAAACUAUGCCCGACCUAGGCGAUCGGCAUGAUUGUUAAUUUUUUNANUGANCUCA